GAUGAACGCUAGCGACAGGCUUAACACAUGCAAGUCGAGGGGCAACGGGACGUAGCAAUACGUUGCCGGCGACCGGCGGAUGGGUGAGUAACGCGUAUGCAACCUACCCACGACAGGGGGAUAGCCCGUUGAAAGACGGAUUAAUACCCCAUAAAACAGGGGUUCCGCAUGGGACUAUUUGUUAAAGGGUUCUCCGCGAGGGGGACAUCGGUUGUGGAUGGGCAUGCGUUCCAUUAGGCAGUUGGUGAGGUAACGGCUCACCAAACCGACGAUGGAUAGGGGAACCGAGAGGUUGGUUCCCCCACACUGGUACUGAGAUACGGACCAGACUCCUACGGGAGGCAGCAGUGAGGAAUUUUGGUCAAUGGACGGAAGUCUGAACCAGCCAAGUCGCGUGAAGGAAGGCGGCCCUAAGGGUUGUAAACUUCUUUUGUAAGGGAAUAAAGUGCGUUACGUGUAGUGCAUUGCAAGUACCUUACGAAUAAGGAUCGGCUAACUCCGUG
Molecule: ribosomal RNA, 503 nt
Filed under: uncultured bacterium
Lineage: Bacteria
Description: bacterial SSU rRNA
Rfam family: Bacterial small subunit ribosomal RNA
Source: RNAcentral